CCCUUAGAUGUUCUGGGCCGCACGCGUGCUACACUGAGUGGAUCAGCGGGUCAGGUUGCGCGAAAGCGUUUCCUAAUCUUUAAAUCCGCUCGUGAUGGGGAUUGACGGUUGCAAUUUUCUGUCAUGAACGAGGAAUACCUUGUAAGCGCGGGUCAUCAUCCCGCGCUGAAUACGUCCCUGCCCUUUGUACACACCGCCCGUCGCUCCUACCGAUUGAGUGGUCGGGUGAGGCUUUGGGAUCUGAGCGGAAAGAGCGUUUCGCUGUUUCUGCUCGGAAAACUCAGUCGAACCUUAUCAUUUAGAGGAAGGAGAAGUCGUAACA
This 322-nucleotide ribosomal RNA is filed under the name uncultured eukaryote. RNAcentral describes it as "partial 18S ribosomal RNA". It matches the Rfam family "Eukaryotic small subunit ribosomal RNA", at positions 1470 to 1796 of the family's 1831-position model. The record is from RNAcentral.